GAUGAAGAACGCAGCGAAAUGCGAUAAGUAAUGUGAAUUGCAGAAUUCAGAGAAUCAUCGAAUCUUUGAACGCACAUUGCGCCCGCCAGUAUUCUGGCGGGCAUGCCUGUUCGAGCGUCAUUUCAACCAUCAAGCCCCCGGCUUGUGUUGGGGACCUGCGGCUGCCGCAGGCCCUGAAAACCAGUGGCGGGCUCGCUAGUCACUCCGAGCGUAGUAAUACAUCUCGCUCAGGGCGUGCUGCGGGUUCCGGCCGUUAAAAAGCCUUAUUUACCCAAGGUUGACCUCGGAUCAGGUAGGAAGACCCGCUGAACUUAAGCAUAUCAAUAAGCGGAGGA
Molecule: unclassified non-coding RNA, 335 nt
Filed under: soil metagenome
Description: partial contains 5.8S ribosomal RNA, internal transcribed spacer 2, and large subunit ribosomal RNA
Rfam family: 5.8S ribosomal RNA (bases 1-120)
Source: RNAcentral